RNAcentral lists this small RNA (101 nucleotides) under Salmonella enterica. RNAcentral describes it as "partial RtT sRNA". It matches the Rfam family "RtT RNA", at positions 1 to 99 of the family's 130-position model. Rfam says of the family: This family represents a bacterial cis-regulatory element known as RtT RNA. The exact function of RtT is unknown although it is thought that it may be involved in changing the cellular response in relation to amino acid starvation. The record is from RNAcentral. Lineage: Bacteria; Pseudomonadati; Pseudomonadota; Gammaproteobacteria; Enterobacterales; Enterobacteriaceae.
AUAUCUCUCCGUACGGGAAGGAUGAGAAGCUUCGACUAAGGUUCGAUUCGAGCGAAAGCGAGAAAGCGUUGCCAACGGCAACGACCCGAAGGGCGAAGCGC